AGACACGACAGAGGACAUCUGGACAUAUAACACCAGUGAGAGUAAGAACGUUAUAUGUAAAGUGGACAAAAGACAGUUUGUGACCGCGGCAUCACUCUUCUUCAAUCGGCAAUACAUAAUAAGGGCGGAAAAGUUUUAUACGUGCUUCAGCGCAAAGUUUGACACCCAGCGAAAAGAAUGUAUGGUUGUCGCUAAUCAAGGCAGUGAGCACACGGAGUGUAUGGUUUAUUACCAUAAACGUUUUGGCUGCGCAGUUAUUAAUGUGAAUAUCAAUAAAGGUGCAGCCCCCUAUUACGACCUUCGGAUUCAGGGUUCCUUCAUAAGGGCAGGCCCAAGCUCCAAAUGCGUCCUAAUGUUUGCGAGGCACACGAUACAUGGGCGGAUUGUAUAUCAUCCGCAAUGCCCGGCAAUACUCAGACGCAACCGAAUGCCAUCUUUUUGCACGACGCCGACGUGUCAUCAUUCCACGCGGUCAUGAAUCAGCAAUAUAUCUUGACGAG
Long non-coding RNA from Rhipicephalus sanguineus (brown dog tick), 500 nucleotides. RefSeq lists it as uncharacterized. The record is from RefSeq and is a predicted model, not a curated record. Lineage: Eukaryota; Metazoa; Arthropoda; Arachnida; Ixodida; Ixodidae. The transcript has 4 exons.